RNAcentral lists this ribosomal RNA (301 nucleotides) under uncultured bacterium. RNAcentral describes it as "partial 16S ribosomal RNA". It matches the Rfam family "Bacterial small subunit ribosomal RNA", at positions 509 to 807 of the family's 1533-position model. The record is from RNAcentral.
CAGUCGCCACGGUAAUACGUAGGUGGCAAGCGUUGUCCGGAAUUAUUGGGCGUAAAGGGCUCGCAGGCGGUUUCUUAAGUCUGAUGUGAAAGCCCCCGGCUCAACCGGGGAGGGUCAUUGGAAACUGGGAAACCUGAGUGCAGAAGAGGAGAGUGGAAUUCCACGUGUAGCGGUGAAAUGCGUAGAGAUGUGGAGGAACACCAGUGGCGAAGGCGACUCUCUGGUCUGUAACUGACGCUGAGGAGCGAAAGCGUGGGGAGCGAACAGGAUUAGAUACCCCUGUAGUCCCUGUCUCUUAUAC